Molecule: non-coding RNA, 158 nt
Filed under: Toxocara canis (dog roundworm)
Lineage: Eukaryota; Metazoa; Nematoda; Chromadorea; Rhabditida; Toxocaridae
Description: Eukaryotic large subunit ribosomal RNA
Rfam family: Eukaryotic large subunit ribosomal RNA
Source: Rfam by way of RNAcentral
GAUAACUGGCUUGCGGCAGCCAAGCGUCCGUAGCGACGUUGCUUUUUGAUCCUUCGAUGUCGGCUCUUCCUAUCAUUGCGAAGCAGAAUUCGCCAAGCGUUGGAUUGUUCACCCACCAAUAGGGAACGUGAGCUGGGUUUAGACCGUCGUGAGAGGCU